GGAUUAAUUGCAUAUUCACCGUAUGCAGGCCGCUACCUUGUUGACUUCUUUGGUCGAAUCUACCGUGAGUAAUCGCGCUCCUUGCGGUCAUUCUUCCGCUGGUAAAAGGCUGCUCCAUGGUGCUGACGGGCGGUGUGCCGGGCCGAGCGUCUUCUUUGUGCUGAUCCGCGAUGCUGCCGGUCAACUUCUGGUGAGUUUACAGACUGCCUGAUCGGAUACGAUCGGGUUUCUGAUUCGCUCCCUGUGCGGGUUGGCAACCCUCUUCGCCAAACCAUUGUAUCGACGUAUGAAACCUACCUGCACAGAGACGCGGACAGCAUCAUCCCCACCUUCCUCGGUUUGUCACGGCAGUCUCAUUAGAGUGCCCUUUCGUAGCAACCCAAUGAGGUUGCGCUCUGGUGGACUUAACUUAACAUCUCACGACACGAGCUGACGACAGCCUUACAGCACCUGUGUUCCGGUUCCGCGACACUUUCCAAAUCUCGCUGAGUUCCAGACAUGUCAAAUUGUUGAUCAGGUUUUUCGCGUUGCAUCGUUAAUCCCAUCAUCCGCUUGUGCAGGUCCCAAUCAUUCUUUGAGGUUUUAAUCUUGCGACCUUCUCCCCAGUGGUCAACUUCACGCGUUAGCACUGCAAAGGCCCGAAGCCACAACAGCUCGUUGACAUCGUUUUGAGGCGUGGACUACCGGGGUAUCUAAUCCUGUUUGCUUCACGCUCGUGCAUGAGCGUCAGUGUUAUCCCAGGAGGCUACCUUCGCCAUCGGUGUUCCUCCGCAUAUCUACGCAUUUCACUACUGCAUAGAUUCCACCUCCCUCUGACACACUCUAGCUCGGUAGUUAAAUGCAGUUUAGAUUCAACUCGGGAUUUCACAUCUUUCUUUCCGAUAACCUGCGCACGCUUCGCCAGUAAUUCCGAUUAACGCACCCCUACGUAUUACCGCAGCUGCUGGCACGUAGUUAGCCGGUACUUAUUCUGCAGGUACCGUCAGUUGCACGAGGGUAUUAUCCCGUGCCGUUUCUUCACCGAAAAGAAGUGCUUUACCUGACAAGGCCUUCAUGUUUACGCGAGAUGGCUGGAUCGGGGUUUUCCCCCAUUGUCCAAAAAUUCCCCACUGCUGCCUCCAUGCGUGAUCUAGGCCCGUGUCUCCAGUCACAGUGUGGCUGGUCAUCCUCUCGACUUCAGCUACCGGAUCUGUCGCCGAUGAGCCAUUACCACCAACUUCAUUAAUCCGAUAUCGGCCGCUCUAAUAGUGCGAGGCCCGAAGGUCCCCGCUUUCCCCCGAAGGCGGUAUGCAGUAUUAGCUACGCUUUCGCGUGGUCUCCGCUUCUGACGUUCCGAUACAUUACUCGUUCAUACUCGCCACCAGACCGAAGUCCGUGCUGCCGUUCGACUUGCAUGUGUAAAGCAUCCGCCAGCGUUCAAUCUGAGCCAGAAUCAGAC
This 1438-nucleotide ribosomal RNA is filed under the name uncultured Bordetella sp. RNAcentral's name for it is "partial 16S-23S ribosomal RNA intergenic spacer". The record is from RNAcentral. Lineage: Bacteria; Pseudomonadati; Pseudomonadota; Betaproteobacteria; Burkholderiales; Alcaligenaceae.